AGCAUGGCUUCACCAAGGGGGCUUCAUGCCUGACAAAUCUGAUGGGAUUCUUUGAGGAGGUACUGAACAACUUGGACGAAGGGGAGCCAGUGGAUGUAGUCUGUUGGAUCUUCAGAAGGCAUUGACUAGGUGCCGUACAGGAAGCUGCUAAAUAAGAUUCGGGAGCUGAAAUUUGGGAUGAUGCACAGACUGAGAGAAUCAAAUGGUUCUGCCAUGAGGAAUCUUCAGACAAGAGCUGGAACCAGAGAGAAAGAGAGAGACGAGAGCAUUAUAAUAAACCAGCCCGUCUCCUUGUCGGUCAUUUACACACUUGCACACGCAUGGGGAAAAGAAUUGUGGGGUUCAGGCUG
Molecule: long non-coding RNA, 350 nt
Organism: Rhincodon typus (whale shark)
Lineage: Eukaryota; Metazoa; Chordata; Chondrichthyes; Orectolobiformes; Rhincodontidae
Exons: 2
Source: RefSeq, a predicted model, not a curated record